ACUAACGGCCUUUACGCGACAUCCGAGCAGCGUGUCUAUCCCAAAGGCCUAGGAGCAUUUGCCCGGCUCGGUCAAAUCUAGCGCAAGUUUGAAGCCUGCGGCCUCGCAAUUUUAGCAGCUUCGUUCCAGGCCAGGACGCCCACCACCUCCAUGCUGAGUGGAGGGGGCCACAGCCCUGGCAUGCAGCCCUGCCCAGUAGCCCGGUGCCUGCCCCUGCCACGCAGGAGGCCCCCCGGCCUGCCAGCAGCCUCAGGCCUCCCCGCUGUGGUGUGCCCGACCCACCUGAUGGGCUGAGUGCCCGCAACCGACAGAAGAGGUUCGUGCUUUCUGGCGGGCGCUGGGAGAAGACGGACCUCACUUACAGGAUCCUUCGGUUCCCAUGGCAGCUGGUGCAGGAGCAGGUGCAGCAGAUGAUGGCAGAGGCCCUAAAGGUAUGGAGCGAUGUGACGCCACUCACCUUCACUGAGGUGCACGAGGGCCGUGCUGACAUCAUGAUCGACUUCGCCAGGUGAAUGGGCGGCCUGGGACCCCUCCGGGAAUAGCCUCACCUGCCAGCAGCCACUGACCCCGCCCCCACCCAUCUGUAGGUACUGGCAUGGGGACGACCUGCCGUUUGAUGGGCCUGGGGGCAUCCUGGCCCAUGCCUUCUUCCCUAAGACUCACCGAGAAGGG
Molecule: small RNA, 672 nt
Filed under: Pongo abelii (Sumatran orangutan)
Lineage: Eukaryota; Metazoa; Chordata; Mammalia; Primates; Hominidae
Description: processed transcript
Source: RNAcentral